RNAcentral lists this ribosomal RNA (268 nucleotides) under uncultured bacterium. RNAcentral's name for it is "partial 16S ribosomal RNA". It matches the Rfam family "Bacterial small subunit ribosomal RNA", at positions 355 to 614 of the family's 1533-position model. The record is from RNAcentral.
UGAGGAAUAUUGCGCAAUGGGGGCAACCCUGACGCAGCAACGCCGCGUGAGUGUGGAAGGUUUUCGGACCGUAAAGCUCUGUCGAGCGGGAAGAAAUGCAUGGUGGCUAAUAUCCAUCAUGCUUGACGGUACCGCUAAAGGAAGCACCGGCUAACUCCGUGCCAGCAGCCGCGGUAAUACGGGGGGUGCGAGCGUUGUUCGGAAUUAUUGGGCGUAAAGAGCGUGUAGGCGGCCGAAUAAGUCAGAUGUGAAAUCCCUGGGCUUAACC